AUAGACCUGAGUAUGGCAGGACUACCCGCCGAACUUAAGCAUAUUACUCAGCGGAGGAAAAGAAAACAACCGUGAUUCCCUUAGUCAGCGGCGAGCGAACAGGGAUCCAACUCGUUGCCGAAUCGGUCCUCAACGGACUUGAGUUGUGGCAAUAAUGAUGCUUCGUGGUUGGUGCGGGAGUGGCAAAAUUCAAGCGCAAAGCAAACCCAUUGCUGAACACAACCCUUCAUGUGAGUAUUGAGCCAGAGAAGGUGUUAGCCCAUUUAGCCAUGACCCCAGCGCCUCAUCAAGUAAUCAAGAGAGUAGCACUGUUUGGGAAUGCAGUGUCAAUCGGCAGGUAUGUGUCUGCCAAAGUUAAAUACAGAGUAGGAAGACCGAUAGCGAA
This 385-nucleotide ribosomal RNA is filed under the name Trypanoplasma borreli. Its description in RNAcentral is "eukaryotic LSU rRNA". It matches the Rfam family "Eukaryotic large subunit ribosomal RNA", at positions 1 to 344 of the family's 3401-position model. The record is from RNAcentral. Lineage: Eukaryota; Euglenozoa; Kinetoplastea; Parabodonida; Parabodonidae.